Molecule: transfer RNA, 118 nt
Organism: Fomitopsis pinicola
Lineage: Eukaryota; Fungi; Basidiomycota; Agaricomycetes; Polyporales; Fomitopsidaceae
Rfam family: tRNA
About the family: Transfer RNA (tRNA) molecules are approximately 80 nucleotides in length.
Source: Rfam
GGCGCUAUAGCCAAGUGGUUACGGCGACAGAUUAGAAUGGAUUGGUUGGUUCGAAACCGUAACGGGUCAUGUGAUCUGUUCCUCUAUGAGGGCGCAGGUUCGAAUCCUGCUGGCGUCG